GGGGGCGGGGAAUCUGCUGAGGAACGGCGCUUUAUAAAUCAAAAGAUAAUAAUAACAGAGCUUACGGUGAGCACCGGAGGCUGGAAACGGGGUGGCAUCCGCUCGGGGCGGGGCGGCGUCGCCAGCGAAUGACAACACUGCCCCCUGGUGGCCGAUGCGGCCAGGCCCGAGAGAGCGCAGGCCGGGUGCGAGCCAGGCUUCCUCACCACGCGGCUUCCCCACUCAUCCCAUAGAAACCGUAACUGAGCAAAUGACGGAUUACUACACUUAGCAGGAUGUCCCCCAGGCUCAUGCACGUUGUAGCGUGUCAGGGUUUCCCUCCCUGUUAAGAGGCCAUCCUGAUGAGUACGAGGUGGUAGAGCUGCCUGCUUUUUGAUUAAUGUGACGAUCACACCCUCUGCCUGGGAGUUUUACAGACUGGUGAUGACUUUUUGUGGCAUCUCAGGAAAGAACAUAACUUCGUGGACGUCCUUAGUCAGAAUCUACUCAGUGUAUCUACUCAGUAUAGGCUCACAUGAGCCCUCACCUUCCCAGGGAGUCACAACCUCUACUAUACUUCUUCUUUCUGCUCUGCCCCCCACAAACGGCCCUGCCAGCCCUCACCACCUAGAGGGAGAUUGGGAGCCGGUAGAGGAAAGACACCCUGAAUCCCCGAGGUCAAGCAAAGCCCUGGGGAGGCGCCGUGGGAUCCCUGCCUCGGGCCUGCCUAGACAGUAUGUGAAUGAGUAUCCCAGAGAUUCUCCCCGCUGUGACCUCGAGGGCCAGCCUGCCUGUGUGGCCGUGAGCUGCUUUCUUCCCAGAGGAACUUGCUUGCGGCAGCAGGACUCCACAGCCUCAGGGGCAGCUUGGGCCUCGGCAAAGUGGGGAGCUGCCUCGGUCCAGCAGGGGUCCAGAUCACCUCCUCAUUUAGAGGGACCAUGUCUCUAGAGAGAUGACAUGCCAAAAACGGAAACCUCACAGGAGCUUUUUGUCCACCUGCAAGCGAGGUGCAGACACGUUUGAGAUGGUGGAUGGACUUUUUUUUUUCUCUUUUCUCUCUUUCCAAAAUCUGGACACACCAUGGCCCAGUGAUGGAGAAGAAGUCGAGGACCUGUCAAGGAUCUUCUUUCUUAGGAGUGGCGGAGGGCUGACCAGUCUCAAUAAAGCACAGGGGGAGCCCCUGU
RNAcentral lists this long non-coding RNA (1163 nucleotides) under Homo sapiens (human). RNAcentral's name for it is "long intergenic non-protein coding RNA 2521". Lineage: Eukaryota; Metazoa; Chordata; Mammalia; Primates; Hominidae. The record is from RNAcentral.